This 86-nucleotide transfer RNA is filed under the name Acidaminococcus sp. CAG:917. It matches the Rfam family "tRNA". Rfam says of the family: Transfer RNA (tRNA) molecules are approximately 80 nucleotides in length. Their secondary structure includes four short double-helical elements and three loops (D, anti-codon, and T loops). Lineage: Bacteria; Bacillati; Bacillota; Negativicutes; Acidaminococcales; Acidaminococcaceae. The record is from Rfam by way of RNAcentral.
GGAGAAGUCGCCUAGUUGGUCUAUGGCGCACGAUUGGAAAUCGUGUUUACCGCAAAGUAUCGAGGGUUCGAAUCCCUCCUUCUCCG